Molecule: ribosomal RNA, 368 nt
Filed under: uncultured organism
Description: bacterial SSU rRNA
Rfam family: Bacterial small subunit ribosomal RNA
Source: RNAcentral
CGGAGGGUGCAAGCGUUAUCCGGAUUCACUGGGUUUAAAGGGUGCGUAGGCGGGCUUGUAAGUCAGUGGUGAAAUCUCCGGGCUUAACUCGGAAACUGCCAUUGAUACUAUAAGUCUUGAAUUAUCUGGAGGUAAGCGGAAUAUGUCAUGUAGCGGUGAAAUGCUUAGAUAUGACAUAGAACACCCAUUGCGAAGGCAGCUUACUACGGGUAUAUUGACGCUGAGGCACGAAAGCGUGGGGAUCAAACAGGAUUAGAUACCCUGGUAGUCCACGCCCUAAACUAUGGAUACUCGACGUGCGCGAUACACAGUGCGCGUCUGAGCGAAAGCAUUAAGUAUCCCACCUGGGAAGUACGACCGCAAGGUUG